This 254-nucleotide ribosomal RNA is filed under the name uncultured bacterium. RNAcentral describes it as "partial small subunit ribosomal RNA". It matches the Rfam family "Bacterial small subunit ribosomal RNA", at positions 27 to 285 of the family's 1533-position model. The record is from RNAcentral.
GGGACGAACGCUGGCGGCGUGCUUAACACAUGCAAGUCGAGCGGAAAGGCCCUUCGGGGUACUCGAGCGGCGAACGGGUGAGUAACACGUGAGUAACCUGCCCCUAGCUCUGGGAUAGCUCCGGGAAACCGGGAUUAAUACCAGAUACGACCACUUUAGACAUCUGUCGUGGUGGAAAGGAUUCCGGCUAGGGAUGGGCUCGCGGCCUAUCAGCUUGUUGGUGGGGUAACGGCCUACCAAGGCGACGACGGGUA